This 389-nucleotide ribosomal RNA is filed under the name Candidatus Omnitrophota bacterium. RNAcentral describes it as "bacterial SSU rRNA". It matches the Rfam family "Bacterial small subunit ribosomal RNA", at positions 1 to 373 of the family's 1533-position model. The record is from RNAcentral. Lineage: Bacteria; Pseudomonadati; Candidatus Omnitrophota.
AAACUGGAGAGUUUGAUCCUGGCUCAGAACGAACGCUGGCGGCGUGGAUUAGGCAUGCAAGUCGAACGAUCCCUUUCGUCAAGAGGGGGAUAGUGGCGAACGGGUGAGUAACACGUGGGUAAUCUGCCUUUAGGUUCGGGAUAACCCGUCGAAAGAUGGACUAAUACCGGAUGAGACCACGGUCCCCGAUGGGACUGGGGUUAAAGAUGGGGAUCCUGAAAAUGGACCUGUUGCCUUUAGAUGAGCCCGCGAACUAUCAGCUUGUUGGUAGGGUAACGGCCUACCAAGGCUAUGACGGUUAGCUGGUCUGAGAGGAUGGUCAGCCACACUGGGACUGAGACACUGCCCAGACUCCUACGGGAGGCUGCAGUCGAGAAUCUUUUGCAAUG